RNAcentral lists this ribosomal RNA (182 nucleotides) under Pseudomonas aeruginosa. RNAcentral describes it as "partial 16S ribosomal RNA". The stretch from base 41 to 182 matches the Rfam family "Bacterial small subunit ribosomal RNA", at positions 1 to 142 of the family's 1533-position model. Lineage: Bacteria; Pseudomonadati; Pseudomonadota; Gammaproteobacteria; Pseudomonadales; Pseudomonadaceae. The record is from RNAcentral.
UGAGCCAAGUUUAGGGUUUUCUCAAAACCCAAGCAGUAUUGAACUGAAGAGUUUGAUCAUGGCUCAGAUUGAACGCUGGCGGCAGGCCUAACACAUGCAAGUCGAGCGGAUGAAGGGAGCUUGCUCCUGGAUUCAGCGGCGGACGGGUGAGUAAUGCCUAGGAAUCUGCCUGGUAGUGGGGG